AAACCUUUUCAAAACUCACCAGAUCAUUUCCUCCAUCAUCUCUCUUCUCUAGCACACUUUUCCCUCUUUCCCUCUCUCUCUUGUUCCAUUAUAGAGAAAACAAGAACAAAAAUGAAAUCGGAGAAACUGAUGAGCAUUAGAUCGAUGUAAACGCCAUCUAGAUCUAGAUCUAGAUCCGUACCGUCAUCUAGACCUGGAUCCAUCAUGUUUCUUUUAAACCCGUCAAGAUCUAGAUCUGGAUCCAUCAUGUUUCUUUUCAAACCCCACAGCCGGAUCCGGAUCCAGAUCAGAAAUAAUCAGAAUUAAACAUCACUCUUCCUCUAUCUUUCCACCAUCUCCCAUCUCUCUCUUCGGGAACCAGAUCUGCAGUGGUGGUUGCAGAUUUGGUGGAAGGUUAGGGUUUGUUCGAAAUAAAAUUUUGGGGUUUUCAUGUACAAAAGAGGAUAGCUCAAAUUAACGGUUGAAGGUUGAUGAAGGAUGGUGGCAGGUGGGGUUGAUGGGGGAUAUUGAUGGCAGUCGUUGUUGUUGAAGGAAGGUGGCAGGUGGGUUGAUGUUGGCGGUUGUUGAUGAAGGAUGGUCGCAGGUGGGUGGUGAUCGUUGAAGGUUGAUGAAGGAUGGUGGCAAGUGGUGGUCCGGUGGUAGUGGUGGUUGUUGGGAGCUACGGUGGUGGAGGGUCUAGCUGAAAACAUGAAUAAUCAAAGCCAAAGCCAAUUUCAGAUCUUGUUCAAGAAGGUGAAUAAGUAUGUUUUUUUCAGCUUUGUUUGGAAAUCUACACUUUGAAGAUGAUGUUUCAGAUGUUGAAGAUGAUUCAAAAGAUGUUUGAUGUUGAACAUAGUUACGAAAUGUAACAAUCAAAGAAAAAAUGUCUGUUACAUUUUUUUUGUGUUAGAAAUGUAACAAUCAAUCAAAGCAAAAAUGCCUGAGAUUUAUGUAGACUUUUUGCUGUGUUGAAUCUGAGAAUUUUAUAUGUUAUGGAUUUUUUGG
This 984-nucleotide long non-coding RNA is filed under the name Helianthus annuus (common sunflower). RNAcentral describes it as "hypothetical non coding rna". Lineage: Eukaryota; Viridiplantae; Streptophyta; Magnoliopsida; Asterales; Asteraceae. The record is from RNAcentral.